AUUGAACGCUGGCGGCAGGCCUAACACAUGCAAGUCGAGCGGAAACGAGUUAUCUGAACCUUCGGGGAACGAUAACGGCGUCGAGCGGCGGACGGGUGAGUAAUGCCUAGGAAAUUGCCCUGAUGUGGGGGAUAACCAUUGGAAACGAUGGCUAAUACCGCAUAAUGCCUACGGGCCAAAGAGGGGGGACCUUUGGGCCUCUCGCGUCAGGAUAUGCCUAGGUGGGAUUAGCUAGUUGGUGAGGUAAUGGCUCACCAAGGCGACGAUCCCUAGCUGGUCUGAGAGGAUGAUCAGCCACACUGGAACUGAGACACGGUCCAGGACUCCUACGGGAGCAGCAGUGGGAAUAUGCACAAUGGCCCAGCCUGAUGCAGCCAUGCCGCGUGUGUGAAGAAGGCCUUCGGGUUGU
This 409-nucleotide ribosomal RNA is filed under the name uncultured bacterium. RNAcentral's name for it is "bacterial SSU rRNA". It matches the Rfam family "Bacterial small subunit ribosomal RNA", at positions 30 to 426 of the family's 1533-position model. The record is from RNAcentral.